Molecule: ribosomal RNA, 486 nt
Filed under: uncultured bacterium
Lineage: Bacteria
Description: bacterial SSU rRNA
Rfam family: Bacterial small subunit ribosomal RNA
Source: RNAcentral
GACGAACGCUGGCGGCGUGCUUUACACAUGCAAGUCGAGCGAGGCCCUCUCCUUCGGGAGGGGAGCCCUAGCGGCGAACGGGUGAGUAACACGUGGGCAACCUGCCCCUAGCACUGGGAUAAGCCCGGGAAACCGGGUCUAAUACCGGAUAUGACCCUCUUAGGCAUCUUUGAGGGUGUAAAGGAUUCUGGCUAGGGAUGGGCCCGCGGCCUAUCAGCUUGUUGGUGGGGUAACGGCCUACCAAGGCUUCGACGGGUAGCCGGCCUGAGAGGGCGACCGGCCACACUGGGACUGAGACACGGCCCAGACUCCUACGGGAGGCAGCAGUGGGGAAUCUUGCACAAUGGGCGAAAGCCUGAUGCAGCGACGCCGCGUGAGGGAUGACGGCCUUCGGGUUGUAAACCUCUUUCAGCUCCGACGAAGCGAAAGUGACGGUAGGAGCAGAAGAAGCACCGGCCAACUACGUGCCAGCCGCCGCCGUAACAC